Molecule: ribosomal RNA, 446 nt
Filed under: uncultured bacterium
Lineage: Bacteria
Description: partial 16S ribosomal RNA
Rfam family: Bacterial small subunit ribosomal RNA
Source: RNAcentral
UCCAGACUCCUACGGGAGGCAGCAGUGGGGAAUAUUGGACAAUGGGGGGAACCCUGAUCCAACGACGCCGCGUGAGUGAAGAAGUAUUUCGGUAUGUAAAGCCCUAUCGGCAGGGAAGAAGGAGGACGGUACCUGACUAAGAAGCCCCGGCUAACUACGUGCCAGCAGCCGCGGUAAUACGUAGGGGGCAAGCGUUAUCCGGAUUUACUGGGUGUAAAGGGAGCGUAGACGGUGAAGCAAGUCUGAAGUGAAAGGCGGGGGCUCAACCCCCGGACUGCUUUGGAAACUGUUUGACUGGAGUGCAGGAGAGGUAAGUGGAAUUCCUAGUGUAGCGGUGAAAUGCGUAGAUAUUAGGAGGAACACCAGUGGCGAAGGCGGCUUACUGGACUGUAACUGACGUUGAGGCUCGAAAGCGUGGGGAGCAAACAGGAUUAGAUACCCUCGUA